UACGUAGGGUGCGAGCGUUGUCCGGAAUUAUUGGGCGUAAAGAGCUCGUAGGCGGUGUGUCGCGUCGGUCGUGAAAACUUGGGGCUCAACCCUGAGCGUGCGGUCGAUACGGGCAUCACUUGAGUUCGGCAGGGGAGACUGGAAUUCCUGGUGUAGCGGUGAAAUGCGCAGAUAUCAGGAGGAACACCGGUGGCGAAGGCGGGUCUCUGGGCCGAUACUGACGCUGAGGAGCGAAAGCGUGGGGAGCGAACAGG
This 254-nucleotide ribosomal RNA is filed under the name uncultured bacterium. RNAcentral describes it as "partial 16S ribosomal RNA". It matches the Rfam family "Bacterial small subunit ribosomal RNA", at positions 524 to 776 of the family's 1533-position model. The record is from RNAcentral.